AUUGAACGCUGGCGGCAGGCUUAACACAUGCAAGUCGAGCGAGCGGCGGACGGGUGAGUAAUGUCUGGGAAACUGCCUGAUGGAGGGGGAUAACUACUGGAAACGGUAGCUAAUACCGCAUAACAUCAGCUGUGCCCAGAUGGGCGUAGCUAGUAGGUGGGGUAAUGGCUCACCUAGGCGACGAUCCACAGCUGGUCUGAGAGGAUGACCAGCCACACGGGAACGGAUAAACGGUCCAGACUCCUACGGGAGGCAGCAGGGGGGAAUAUUGCACAAUGGGCGCAAGCCUGAUGCAGCCAGGCCGCGUGUGUGAAGAAGGCCUUCGGGUUGUAAAGCACGUUCAGCGAGGAGGCGUUACUCGCAGAAGAAGCACCGGCUAACUCCGUGCCAGCAGCCGCGGUAAUUC
Molecule: ribosomal RNA, 406 nt
Filed under: uncultured bacterium
Lineage: Bacteria
Description: partial 16S ribosomal RNA
Rfam family: Bacterial small subunit ribosomal RNA
Source: RNAcentral